RNAcentral lists this ribosomal RNA (1068 nucleotides) under Triticum aestivum (bread wheat). RNAcentral describes it as "partial small subunit ribosomal RNA". Lineage: Eukaryota; Viridiplantae; Streptophyta; Magnoliopsida; Poales; Poaceae. The record is from RNAcentral.
AUGGUUCCACAGAAUGAUCUUGGCAGUAGAAUUAUAACGACUACUCAAAUUGAGAAUGUAGCUGCUGCUUGUUGCAAUCGUCGCCAUGACCAUAUUUAUAAGAUUGAACAUCUCAACAACCAAGACUCAAGAAGAUUAUUUUUCAGGAGAGUUUUUGGUACAGAAGAUACCUGUCCUGAGCAUUUUGAGAAAAUUUCAGAGGAAAUUUUUAGGAAAUGUGGAGGUGUUCCUUUGGCCACAAUAAGCAUAGCUAGCCUGUUGGCUAGUCAAGCAGUUAUGCUAAGGACAAAAUGGGAGAUGAUAUUAAGUUCUUUAGGUUCCAUGUUGGAGGAGAACCCUGCUUUCAGAUGGAUGAACCAUGUCCUAAACCUUAGCUAUAAUGAUCUCCCUCAUGAUCUUAAGACAUGCAUGCUUUAUCUUGUUUCAUUUCCUGAGGAUUCUAUCAUUAGGAAGGACCAUUUGUUGAGGCGAUGGAUCGCAGAAGGCUUCGUCAUGGAAAUACCUAGUCAAGAUCUAGAGGAUAUUGCUGAAGGCUAUUUAACUGAACUCAUCAAUAGGAGUAUGAUUCAACCUGCGUCUUUCGGUGAGGGUGGGGAGUUGAUGUCUGUCCGGGUGCAUGAUCUAAUGCUAGAGCUUAUUACCUCAAAGUCCAGGCAGGAGAACUUCAUCACUACAACAAAUGACCUGAAGGCCAGGCCUGGAGCUUUGGAAAUUCGUCGCCUCUCCCUUCACUUCAGCAAUGCAGAAGAUGACAAUGUUCUGGGAAGCAUGGAACUCAAGCAAACUCGAUCGCUCAUCUUUUCAGGCAUUGUUCAAGACAUACCAUGUAUACGGAAGUUUGAACUCGUCCGAGUUAUGGAUCUUGAAGCUAGCUUUUCUAGGAAUAUUUCAUGUGACCUGACUGGCAUGUGCAGACUCUUUUUACUGAGAUAUUUGAGGAUCAGAGGUAAUUCCUUCAAACUGCCUGAUCAAAUACGAACACUGAAACAUCUGAAGACACUGGAACUGAAUGGCAACCUGCUUCAUGUUCCGUCGGAUGUCUUCGAGUUGCAGUCCUGUCGCAUCUGA